AUGCUUGCUUCGGCAGCACAUACACUAAAAUUGGAAUGAUACAGAGAAGAUUAGCAUGGCCCCUGCGCAAGGAUGACACGCAAAUCCAUGAAGCGUUCCAUAUUUUU
This is a small nuclear RNA of Delphinapterus leucas (beluga whale), 107 nucleotides long. NCBI's taxonomy places the organism in Eukaryota, Metazoa, Chordata, Mammalia, Artiodactyla, Monodontidae. The record is from Ensembl.